Molecule: long non-coding RNA, 1991 nt
Organism: Spea bombifrons (plains spadefoot toad)
Lineage: Eukaryota; Metazoa; Chordata; Amphibia; Anura; Pelobatidae
Exons: 2
Source: RefSeq, a predicted model, not a curated record
AUUCAGUUGAUUAACCCCUUGAUGACAAUUGCCGGUCCUGGCACGACACGCAAAAGCAUGUGCUUUAUGACAAUUGACGUGCCAGGACCGGCACGUCAUUAAACGGGUGCAGAAAGCGAUCUGUUUUCGCUUUCUGCUCCCAAAAAACGUUGCUGAAUGCCUCGACCUCGAGGCAUUCAGCAACGCCACGAUCGGAACGAAGGGGCCAUCUCUGGCCCCUCCACGGGGCGUCAACAUCCGCCAUACUUUGUAUGGCGGCGGACGCCCGUUUUAAAAGCUUCGCUAGAUGGUCCAGACCAUCUAGAGAACUUUGGCUCCACUUGCAGGUUGAAUACAGGUACUGCAUUCACCAUGCAAGUCAAUGGAGCCCAGCUUUCUAAUCACAGUGUGAUUAGUAAAAAUAAAUUAAAAAAUAAAAUAAAAUUAAUAAUAAUUAGAAAAAAAAAUAGUAAAAAACUAGUAAAAUGUAAAAAUCAUUUCCCACUGAUGUCACUAUCAGGGGAACCUCCAAGUUGAAAAAAAUGUUAAAAAUUUUUUUAAAAAAAGACAAAAAAAAUAAAAAAAAUAUAUAUAAAAAAUAUAUUUUUGUGAGCAAGUCCUAAAAUUAGGAUAUUAGCUUAAAACAAUUCUCGCAUGGAAAGAGUUAAAAUACUGGCAUAUGAAAUGCCCGUGGGGUGUCUACUUUUAAAAAAUGUAUGAUUUGAUGGGGUAAAUUGAAUUGGCCAGGUUCAACAACGUCCCAAUUAACACGGGGGGAAGGAUGGCCACACAUCUAAUUUCCAAUUAGAAAAAUGCACACGUACCAAAUGUGGCCUUUUAGUUCCCCAAAAAAAUGACACACCCAUGCAUGUGGGGUAUCACUGCACUCAGGAGAUGUUGCUGAACACAUUAUGGGGUGUCGUGUGACAGCGGCAUAUACCAGGAACUGUAAAUUCAUACAUAAAGUAGGUGUGUGUGGGAAAAAUACACACACAAAAAUACUACUGCAAACUUUGAAAAAAUGCUGGUGGUAAAAUGUGUGCAUGCAAAGAGUUAAAAUACCAGCAUUUAAAAUACCCUGUGGUGUCUAGUUUUGAAAAAUAUAUGGGUUUAUUGGGCACACUGAAAUGGCCCGGCUCAAAGAUGUACCAAAUAGGGCAUGGGCAGUGGAUCCCCAAAUGCCAAAGUUCAACAUUGAAAAAUGCGCAUGCCCCAAAUGUGGCCCUUUUGCCCCCAAACAGCCAGGCAAAAUCAUUCAUGUGGGGUAUCACUGCGCUCAGGAGAUGUUGCUGAACACAUAUUGGGGUGUUUUGUGAUAGUGACAUAAACGAGAACAUUUUAAUUCUUACCUGAAGUAAAAUGUGUGUGACAAAACAAAUGCAAAAAAAUGACUACCACAAAGUUUGACAAAGACUGGUGGUAGAUACGGUGCAUGGAAAGAGUUAAAAUACUAGCAUUUGGAAUACCCAGGGCUGUCUAGUUUUCAAAAAUAUAUGACUUGAUGGGGUAAAUUGCAUUGGCCGGGUUCAAAGAUACCCGAAAUGGCACAUGGGGGGAAGAAUUACCAGAUUUGGAAAAAAUGGCUUUGAAAUAGCAAAACGCUACUUGUACUUAUUGCCCCAUAAUGGGUAGAAAAAAGCAAAAAAACAUAAAAACAUUGGGUAUUUCUAAACUCAGGACAAAUAGUAGAAUCUAUUUAGCAGGUUUUUUCAUUACCUUUUAUAGAUGAGUAAAAGAUUUUUCAACUAAAAGUUAAAAACAGUCAUUUUUUUCUAAAUUUUUCACCAUAUUUUAUAAUUUUUUUAAUAGUAAAUAAUAUGAUACAAUCAAAACAAUGUCAUCUAAAGAAAGCCCUUCUUGUCCUGAAAAAAACAAUAUCUAAUGUGUGUGGGUUCAGUAAACGGGAAAGAAGAAAAUUACAGCUAAACGCGAGCAGCGCAGAAAUGUUAAAAAGGCCAUUGUCACCAGGGGAACAAACAGUAAAAUCAGCCUUUGUCACGAAGGGGUUAAUA